Molecule: microRNA precursor, 84 nt
Filed under: Bombyx mori (domestic silkworm)
Lineage: Eukaryota; Metazoa; Arthropoda; Insecta; Lepidoptera; Bombycidae
Description: mir-2807 microRNA precursor family
Rfam family: mir-2807 microRNA precursor family
Source: Rfam by way of RNAcentral
UUGACUCAAAUUUGUAUGCAGUUAGAACGUUUGCCUUCGUUUGCCGCUAGGGGCGCUGUUCCAACUACAUACAAAUUCGCGUUA